GCAAGGGGGGAAAGAAUCAAGAUGAAAAUCAACGACAACCCAGAGAUUUGUUGUCAGUUUUAAUAGGAGGAGUGGAGUCAGAGUUUAGAGAAAUGUAGAAAAAGACCUUUUACUUUUUGCUGGAACAUGAUAUGGUUUGUGCAUGGCACAUACAUAUUAAAAAAAUAGAGGUAUCACAUUUCACAGUCACAUGACCGAACAGCAUCUGGGUUGUACUACGUGCUGUGCCUAAGCUGGAGGGCAGCUCUACCCUGGGACCAGCCUGAGGUACUCAGCGAUUUACAGAAAGAGGAAACCACUCAGGACACAGCUCUCUGGUGCUGGAAUUUCAGUCGUUCAAUGAGGUAUACAAACAUGGUUCUGCGUUGGCUAUCUGCAUGAUGGACCAGAUUCAGGACCUGCUUGGGACAUCAUCCCAUCUUCCACCUGUUCUGGGAAGAGGAAGCAUCAACUCAGAUUCAUGCCGUCCACCAGCCAUCCCACAUUCCAAGCUCCACUAGGAACUGAUAUGCACCUCAGGCUUGGGGUGCCUGCAUUUCUGAUGGACCCUGUUCAAGAGACUGAUUGCACUGGACAAGACUCCCUAAAAAACAGUGGAGAGUUUUAUCCCCGCCUCCAAGCAGACCUGCACUUCAACCUUCCACGGAAUCAAGAUGGACCAGUUUUCUCCCUUUUCUACCACAUCCAAGGGUCUGCCGUGUGCACACGUGCUCUGGGGCUUCUACAGUUUCUUCCAUCUUCAUGUACCUGGGUGUGGCCUUUUCCUCCUCACCCACCACAUGUCCUUCCUGACAUUUGCAGGGCACAGGAGGUGGCCAGUAAGGUGUCUCCCCCUUUGAUUGCCAACUUCCCAUCUUCAGCUGAGAAUCCCUCAACCCAGAUCUAUCUAUAGAUGGAUGCAACUGCAAAUAGCAAGUUCAGCCUCACACCCUCUCACUCUGCCGUCUCUGCACUUUGAGGACAGCUGCUCCCUGCUGACCUGUGCAACCCCUGUAGUUAGUGGCCUCUGAAUGGAAAGAUGAUUGGAAAGAGGCAGAAUGGGAGCACACAUCAAUCCUGCUGGUUUGACAAGUGACAUUCUUACAGGCAGAUUCCUGCAGCGAUGAUGCUAGGAGAAAGAAACCUGAUGCUUUGAAAUGCCAUUGCUCUGAGAAUGUAUAUAAAGCUGUAUGGAUGUACGACAAUGCACACAAAGUCCUACCCUGGCCUUGUCCUGUGCACACGGUCACAUUCCACAAGUGUCACCGAUACCUUCUCUCCUCGAGGGAGGUCAGAGCAUGGGAUAAAUUGCCAUUCUAAAGUUGCUGAUUGCAGCCGUCGUUUGAAUGGGCUGCAGGCCGUGGGGUCCAGUGGCCGAGGGAAACAACUGGGGUCUCCCCAAGCACAAGAUGAGCCUGAUUCAGAAGCCGUGGAAGGCAAGGGGUAUUAUUCGCUUGCGCAAAAUUCCAAUAGAACAGAUGCUGCUUUAAAUCUGAGCCUUCUUUCGUGGGUCCUUAUAUCCUGGGAAGGAAAUGAGUGACAGUCAUGAUCGGGGACACCUUGCUGCCCCGCUUUACCCGUCCGUAUUUGCUCAGGGCGAUGUAGGUCCCUCGGUACAAGUCUGACUCAUAGGCGUUGUAAUUGUUGGGCAGGAGGGUUUCUCUGAACUUGCAUUCUUCUUGGAAGCUGGGCUGUGAAAGACAUGGGCAAACAGCAGAGACUGCGUUAGAAAUGAGGAGUGCUGCAGAUGCCAGCUGGGCCGCAGAGAGUAGGCCCCUCUGCCAGGUGCCCUUCCCUUCUCUUUGUGAGACAACCACCGUGAGGUCUGAGCAUCCUGGGUGAACAGAAUGGUGAAAGGUUA
This is a long non-coding RNA of Pongo pygmaeus (Bornean orangutan), 1840 nucleotides long. RefSeq lists it as uncharacterized. Lineage: Eukaryota; Metazoa; Chordata; Mammalia; Primates; Hominidae. The transcript is spliced from 3 exons. The record is from RefSeq and is a predicted model, not a curated record.